GAUGAACGCUGGCGGCGUGCCUAAUACAUGCAAGUCGAGCGAACAGACGAGGAGCUUGCUCCUCUGACGUUAGCGGCGGACGGGUGAGUAACACGUGGAUAACCUACCUAUAAGACUGGGAUAACUUCGGGAAACCGGAGCUAAUACCGGAUAAUAUAUUGAACCGCAUGGUUCAAUAGUGAAAGACGGUUUUGCUGUCACUUAUAGAUGGAUCCGCGCCGCAUUAGCUAGUUGGUAAGGUAACGGCUUACCAAGGCAACGAUGCGUAGCCGACCUGAGAGGGUGGGCGGCCACACUGAAACGGAGACAGGGCCCAGAGCCCUAGGGAAGGCGCCAGGAGGGAAACUUCCGCAAGGGGCGAAAGCCAGACGGAGCAACGCCGAGGGAGUAAUGAAGGUCUCCGGAUCGUAAAACUCUGUUAUUGGGGAAGAACAAAUGUUUAAGUAACAAUGAGCGUCUUGAAGGUACCUAAUCAAAGAACCACGGCUAACUACGUG
This 497-nucleotide ribosomal RNA is filed under the name uncultured bacterium. Its description in RNAcentral is "partial 16S ribosomal RNA". It matches the Rfam family "Bacterial small subunit ribosomal RNA", at positions 28 to 507 of the family's 1533-position model. The record is from RNAcentral.